This 437-nucleotide ribosomal RNA is filed under the name uncultured bacterium. RNAcentral describes it as "bacterial SSU rRNA". It matches the Rfam family "Bacterial small subunit ribosomal RNA", at positions 954 to 1392 of the family's 1533-position model. The record is from RNAcentral.
GCUAAACGCGAAGAACCUUACCUGGCCUUGACAUCCUAGGAAUCCCGAAGAGAUUUGGGAGUGCCGCAAGGAACCUAGAGACAGGUGCUGCAUGGCUGUCGUCAGCUCGUGUCGUGAGAUGUUGGGUUAAGUCCCGCAACGAGCGCAACCCUUGUCCUUAGUUGCCAUCAUUAAGUUGGGAACUCUAAGGAGACCGCCGGUGACAAACCGGAGGAAGGUGGGGAUGACGUCAAGUCAUCAUGGCCUUUAUGGCCAGGGCUACACACGUGUUACAAUGGCAGGUACAGAGGGAAGCCAACCGGCGACGGGGAGCUAAUCCCAGAAAGCCUGUCUUAGUCCGGAUUGCAGUCUGCAACUCGACUGCAUGAAGUUGGAAUCGCUAGUAAUCGUGGAUCAGCAUGCCACGGUGAAUACGUUCCCGGGUCUUGUACACACCG